RNAcentral lists this ribosomal RNA (253 nucleotides) under uncultured bacterium. Its description in RNAcentral is "partial 16S ribosomal RNA". It matches the Rfam family "Bacterial small subunit ribosomal RNA", at positions 524 to 776 of the family's 1533-position model. The record is from RNAcentral.
UACAGAGACUGCAAGCGUUAUUCGGAUUCACUGGGCGUAAAGGGUGCGCAGGCGGCCGUGUGUGUGAGGCGUGAAAGCCCGGGGCUUAACCCCGGAAUUGCACCUCAAACUACAUGGCUAGAGCAUUGGAGAGGGUAGCGGAAUUCACGGUGUAGCAGUGAAAUGCGUAGAUAUCGUGAGGAACACCAGAGGCGAAGGCGGCUACCUGGACAAUUGCUGACGCUCAGGCACGAAAGCGUGGGGAGCAGAAGGG